AUCAAUAAGCGGAGGAAAAGAAACCAACAGGGAUUGCCUUAGUAACGGCGAGUGAAGCGGCAACAGCUCAAAUUUGAAAUCUGGCCCUUGGGUCCGAAUUGUAAUUUGUAGAGGAUGAUUUUGGUGCGGUAUCUUCCGAGUUCCUUGGAACAGGACGCCUUAGAGGGUGAGAGCCCCGUACGGUUGAAUGCCUAGCCUCUGUAAAUCUCCUUCGACGAGUCGAGUAGUUUGGGAAUGCUGCUCUAAAUGGGAGGUAAAUUUCUUCUAAAGCUAAAUAUUGGCCAGAGACCGAUAGCGCACAAGUAGAGUGAUCGAAAGAUGAAAAGCACUUUGAAAAGAGGGUUAAAUAGCACGUGAAAUUGUUGAAAGGGAAGGAUUUGUGACCAGACUUUUUCUGGGCGGAUCAUCCGGGGUUCUCUCCGGUGCACUUUGCCCAGUAAAGGCCAGCAUCGGUUUUCGGCGGGGGAUAAAAGCAGUAGGAAUGUGGCUCCCUACGGGGAGUGUUAUAGCCUGUUGUAUAAUACCCUGCUGGGGACCGAGGUACGCGCUUCUGCAAGGAUGCUGGCGUAAUGGUUAUCAAUCACCCGUCUUGAAACACGGACCAAGGAGUCGAACAUUUGUGCGAGUGUUUGGGUGUUAAACCCUCACGCGUAAUGAAAGUGAACGGAGGUGAGAGCCCUUACGGGUGCAUCAUCGACCGAUCCUGAAGUUUUCGGAUGGAUUUGAGUAAGAGCAUAACUGUUCGGACCCGAAAGAUGGUGAACUAUGCGUGGAUAGGGUGAAGCCAGAGGAAACUCUGGUGGAGGCUCGCAGCGGUUCUGACGUGCAAAUCGAUCGUCAAAUCUGCGCAUGGGGGCGAAAGACUAAUCGAACCAUCUAGUAGCUGGUUACCGCCGAAGU
Molecule: ribosomal RNA, 900 nt
Filed under: Pseudopestalotiopsis cocos
Lineage: Eukaryota; Fungi; Ascomycota; Sordariomycetes; Amphisphaeriales; Sporocadaceae
Description: LSU rRNA
Rfam family: Eukaryotic large subunit ribosomal RNA
Source: RNAcentral